This 497-nucleotide ribosomal RNA is filed under the name uncultured bacterium. Its description in RNAcentral is "partial 16S ribosomal RNA". It matches the Rfam family "Bacterial small subunit ribosomal RNA", at positions 28 to 507 of the family's 1533-position model. The record is from RNAcentral.
GAUGAACGCUGGCGGCGUGCCUAAUACAUGCAAGUCGAGCGAACAGACGAGGAGCUUGCUCCUCUGACGUUAGCGGCGGACGGGUGAGUAACACGUGGAUAACCUACCUAUAAGACUGGGAUAACUUCGGGAAACCGGAGCUAACACCGGAUAAUAUAUUGAACCGCAUGGUUCAAUAGUGAAAGACGGUUUUGCUGUCACUUAUAGAUGGAUCCGCGCCGCAUUAGCUAGUUGGUAAGGUAACGGCUUACCAAGGCAACGAUGCGUAGCCGACCUGAGAGGGUGAUCGGCCACACUGGAACUGAGACACGGUCCAGACUCCUACGGGAGGCAGCAGUAGGGAAUCUUCGGCAAUGGGCGAAAGCCUGACGGAGCAACGCCGCGUGAGUGAUGAAGGUCUUCGGAUCGUAAAACUCUGUUAUUAGGGAAGAACAAAUGUGUAAGUAACUAUGCACGUCUUGACGGUACCUAAUCAGAAAGCCACGGCUAACUACGUG